AAGUCGUAACAAGGUUACCGUCGGGGAACCAGCGGUAGGAUCAUUAGUGCCCGAAACAAACGCGAAUGGUGGUGGGGCUGCGGCCGGCCUGUUCUGGGACCCUCUGGGUACCAUUUUGGGCGGGCCAAAGUCUCUCAUUUUUUUUUUCAUUUCCAAACCACAUUACGGCGCAAGCUGUCUUGUAUGCAUACCAAAAUUCUUCUUUAUUGUAGAACUAAGAAAUCACAACUGGCAACGGUGGAUCUCUUGGCUCGU
Molecule: unclassified non-coding RNA, 255 nt
Filed under: fungal sp.
Lineage: Eukaryota; Fungi
Description: partial internal transcribed spacer region
Source: RNAcentral